AUUGGAAGAAUUAUUCAUGGAAUUGUAAUCUAGAUUAUGGUCCAUUACAGCCUUAACUGAUUGCACCAAUUCCUCAUUGGAAGAACCUUCUGAGGACUUGAGUAGCUAUGAAAAGCAACAGUCUGGAGCACCUUGAAGAACGGUUUUGGUCUUACACUGGUUUGGUAGGUCACAUUUCCUGCUCAUAGCCUGGAUCUGACUGCCAGGAGAUGCCAGAUAAUGACUGGACAAGUCUCAAUUGAUGGUUUCUUACCCAACUUCUGCUCAGUUCAUUCCCAUUUGAUUUAUCUCAGAUCGGUACUCGCUGGAUGAACAUUACUCUCUGCCUAAUGAAACAAGAAAGGAACAAGUCAUGACC
This is a long non-coding RNA of Callorhinchus milii (elephant shark), 358 nucleotides long. RefSeq lists it as uncharacterized. NCBI's taxonomy places the organism in Eukaryota, Metazoa, Chordata, Chondrichthyes, Chimaeriformes, Callorhinchidae. The record is from RefSeq and is a predicted model, not a curated record. The transcript is spliced from 3 exons.